RNAcentral lists this long non-coding RNA (394 nucleotides) under Sorghum bicolor (sorghum). RNAcentral's name for it is "long non-coding RNA (SBIC_LNC001923)". The record is from RNAcentral. Lineage: Eukaryota; Viridiplantae; Streptophyta; Magnoliopsida; Poales; Poaceae.
UACGCCUCGCCCAGGUCCGUGGUGGCGAUGCCGUCCGUGCGGGUCGGCAGGAAGAGGUCCCAGGGCAUCCGCUGCGACUACAUCGGCUCCGCCACCAACCUGGUAUGUAUAUAUAUAUAUAUAUGUGUCAAAUAUAUAUAACAGUUAGAACCGUAGUCGGACACGACGACUCGACGAGUAGUGAAGCUCGAUGACGACCGGCCGAUCACUGAUGGAUGGUAUAUGCAGAUCAUGGUGACGACGACGACGCUGAUGCUGUUCGCGGGGCGGUUCGGGCUGGCGCCGUCGGCGAACCGGAAGGCGACGGCGGGGCUGAAGCUGGAGGCGCGCGACUCCGGGCUGCAGACGGGCGACCCCGCCGGGUUCACCCUCGCCGACACGCUGGCAUGCGGCG